RNAcentral lists this ribosomal RNA (484 nucleotides) under uncultured bacterium. RNAcentral's name for it is "partial 16S ribosomal RNA". It matches the Rfam family "Bacterial small subunit ribosomal RNA", at positions 30 to 507 of the family's 1533-position model. The record is from RNAcentral.
AUUGAACGCUGGCGGCAGGCCUAACACAUGCAAGUCGAGCGGAUGAAGGGAGCUUGCUCCUGGAUUCAGCGGCGGACGGGUGAGUAAUGCCUAGGAAUCUGCCUGGUAGUGGGGGAUAACGUCCGGAAACGGGCGCUAAUACCGCACACGUCCUGAGGGAGAAAGUGGGGGAUCUUCGGACCUCACGCUAUCAGAUGAGCCUAGGUCGGAUUAGCUAGUUGGUGGGGUAAAGGCCUACCAAGGCGACGAUCCGUAACUGGUCUGAGAGGAUGAUCGGUCACACUGGAACUGAGACACGGUCCAGACUCCUACGGGAGGCAGCAGUGGGGAAUAUUGGACAAUGGGCGAAAGCCUGAUCCAGCCAUGCCGCGUGUGUGAAGAAGGUCUUCGGAUUGUAAAGCACUUUAAGUUGGGAGGAAGGGCAGUAAGUUAAUACCUUGCUGUUUUGACGUUACCAACAGAAUAAGCACCGGCUAACUUCGUG